GAUGAACGCUAGCGGCAGGCCUAAUACAUGCAAGUCGGACGGGAUUUGGGAGCUUGCUCCUAAUGAGAGUGGCGCACGGGUGCGUAACACGUAUGUAACCUACCUUAAUCAGGGGGAUAGCCUCUCGAAAGAGAGAUUAACACCGCAUAACAUAUUUUUAUGGCAUCGUAGAAAUAUCAAAUAUUUAUAGGAUUAAGAUGGGCAUGCGGAACAUUAGCUAGUUGGUAAGGUAACGGCUUACCAAGGCUACGAUGUUUAGGGGAUCUGAGAGGAUGACCCCCCACACUGGUACUGAGACACGGACCAGACUCCUACGGGAGGCAGCAGUAAGGAAUAUUGGUCAAUGGGCGCAAGCCUGAACCAGCCAUUCCGCGUGCAGGAUGAAGGCCCUCGGGUUGUAAACUGCUUUUGUACAGAACGAAAAGGUUUCUACUAAUACUAGGAGCUCAUGACGGUACUGUAAGAAUAAGCACCGGCUAACUACGUGCCAGCCGCCCGCAGUAA
This 504-nucleotide ribosomal RNA is filed under the name uncultured bacterium. Its description in RNAcentral is "partial 16S ribosomal RNA". It matches the Rfam family "Bacterial small subunit ribosomal RNA", at positions 28 to 523 of the family's 1533-position model. The record is from RNAcentral.